GUGGAAGGAGCGAGGGCAGUCAUCACACAUCACCAACUUGUCUUCGUCUUCCCUUCUACAGACGCCACACUCGUCAUCGUUCUUCUGAUUCUCCUGCCGGGACAGACACACGACAGCAAGUCUGGCGACACGACUCCACGGGGACCGUUUAACAUCGGCGAAACAUCAGCUCCGGUCGACAGCACGUUGCCGAUGCAGAACGUGACCUUCCUGCAGCGAAAGAAACAAAACAGAAAAUGAACGGCGCACCCGACAAAUCCACGUCCCGAGGCACACGUUGAAGUAACAGUCUGAGAUUCACUCUCAUAUUUGAACAUUUGAUUCAGUCAUUAUUUGUUGGUGUAAAUAAACUGAACAAAUAAAUAAAUGAAAAAUGCAAACCUGAA
Pseudoliparis swirei is the source of this 386-nucleotide long non-coding RNA. RefSeq lists it as uncharacterized. The transcript is spliced from 2 exons. Lineage: Eukaryota; Metazoa; Chordata; Actinopteri; Perciformes; Liparidae. The record is from RefSeq and is a predicted model, not a curated record.